This is a long non-coding RNA of Daktulosphaira vitifoliae (grape phylloxera), 257 nucleotides long. RefSeq lists it as uncharacterized. The record is from RefSeq and is a predicted model, not a curated record. The transcript is spliced from 3 exons. NCBI's taxonomy places the organism in Eukaryota, Metazoa, Arthropoda, Insecta, Hemiptera, Phylloxeridae.
GUAGAAUCAAUCCGUGAUAUUGAACCACGUUUUGGUUUAUCAGUUUCAUCUACAGAGGUUAAUCUGGACAAUGGUUCUUUUUGUGUUGUCUCACUUUUAUCAUCUGUAGAAUCAAUCCGUGAUAUUGAACCACGUUUUGGUUUAUCAGUUUCUACUACAGAGGUUAAUCUGGACAAUGGUUCGGUUGGUGUUUUCUCACUUUUAUCUUCUGUAGAAUCGAAUCGAGAUAUUGAACCACGUUUUGGUUUAUCAGUUUC